Molecule: ribosomal RNA, 253 nt
Filed under: uncultured bacterium
Lineage: Bacteria
Description: partial 16S ribosomal RNA
Rfam family: Bacterial small subunit ribosomal RNA
Source: RNAcentral
UACGGGGGGGGCAAGCGUUGUUCGGAAUUACUGGGCGUAAAGGGCUCGUAGGCGGCCAACUAAGUCAGACGUGAAAUCCCUCGGCUUAACCGGGGAACUGCGUCUGAUACUGGAUGGCUUGAGGUUGGGAGAGGGAUGCGGAAUUCCAGGUGUAGCGGUGAAAUGCGUAGAGAUCGUAAGGAAGACCAGUGGCGAAGGCGGGUCUCUGGACAGUUCCUGGCACUGAGGCACGAAGGCCAGGGGAGCAAACGGG